RNAcentral lists this ribosomal RNA (400 nucleotides) under uncultured bacterium. RNAcentral describes it as "bacterial SSU rRNA". It matches the Rfam family "Bacterial small subunit ribosomal RNA", at positions 355 to 770 of the family's 1533-position model. The record is from RNAcentral.
CCGAGAAUAUUCCGCAAUGGACGAAAGUCUGACGGAGCGACGCCGCGUGAACGACGAAGGUCUUCGGAUCGUAAAGUUCUUUUAUGGGGGAGGAAAUUUUGACGUUACCCCAUGAAUAAGAGGCUCCUAACUCUGUGCCAGCAGGAGCGGUCAUACAGAGGCCUCAAGCGUUACCCGGAAUCACUGGGCGUAAAGGGUGUGUAGGUGGUGGCAUUAGUCUCCUGUUAAAUACCGGGGCUUAACCUCGGAAGUGCGGGGGAAACGGUGCCACUAGAGGGUGAGAGAGGUGUACGGAACUCAUGGUGUAGGGGUGAAAUCCGUUGAUAUCAUGGGGAACACCAAAGGCGAAGGCAGUACACUGGCUCAUUCCUGACACUGAGACACGAAAGCGUGGGUAGCG